CCUACGGGAGGCUGCAGUGAGGAAUUUUGGUCAAUGGACGAGAGUCUGAACCAGCCAAGUCGCGUGAAGGAUGACUGCCCUAUGGGUUGUAAACUUCUUUUAUAUGGGAAUAAAAUGUUCCACGUGUGGGAUUUUGUAUGUACCAUAUGAAUAAGGAUCGGCUAACUCCGUGCCAGCAGCCGCGGUAAUACGGAGGAUCCGAGCGUUAUCCGGAUUUAUUGGGUUUAAAGGGAGCGUAGGUGGAUUGUUAAGUCAGUUGUGAAAGUUUGGGGCUCAACCGUAAAAUUGCAGUUGAAACUGGCAGUCUUGAGUACAGUAGAGGUGGGCGGAAUUCGUGGUGUAGCGGUGAAAUGCAUAGAUAUCACGAAGAACUCCGAUUGCGAAGGCAGUUCACUGGACUGCAACUGACACUGAGGCUCGAAAGUGUGGGUAUCAAACAGGAUUAGAUACCCGUGUAGUC
Molecule: ribosomal RNA, 460 nt
Filed under: uncultured bacterium
Lineage: Bacteria
Description: partial 16S ribosomal RNA
Rfam family: Bacterial small subunit ribosomal RNA
Source: RNAcentral